CCCGCUAUAACCCAAAUGGACACUUUUUAUUUGAUCUUCUUAAUGAUUACCAUCGAAGGAACCUCCUCGUUGCGGAAUACUCUUGCGUUUCUCUCUCAGCAAACCUCCCAGCAGGAAAUACUGUUAACAAGUCAAGGAAGAUUUAUCUAUCGUGUGUACCUAAGACGGGGAUAAUCACCCAUUAUACAUUUAUGAAUACAAAGUUGCAGUUCAAACAAUCUGACAUGUACCUAAGACGGGGAUAAUCACCCAUUAUACAUUUAUGAAUACAAAGUUGCAGUUCAAACAAUCUGACAUAAAUAUACACUCCUCCGUCCCAAAACAGACGAAGGAUUUUUUUUUAAUAUAGAAAAUAUGUUAAUAUCUUGAAGAUAUCAAAAAUAAAAUAUCGAAAGACAAGGAUGCGCACAAAAAAAUAGACGGAGGGAAUAUAUGACAGGAAUGUCUCGUUGUGAUCCAUAUCCACUGUCGCCACUAGAUAUACGGAGCAGGAAUCGGUUGGUACCAGCAGUUGACGAAGACCCACGCGCAUGCACUGACCGUCCUGCAGUCCGGCAACCCUCCCACGGGCCAGUCUCACUCGGUUUCAUACUUUCAUUCGAUUCCUUGCCCACUAUGCUCUGUCCAGCGAACGCGGCCGAUGUACUGCGUUUUCCAUAUGCUCUCUACACCCAAGGCGGCCGAUGUAAUCCAGUGCGUGGGAAUCGAAUCGUUGAACGUCAAGUGGGCUCCUACCGUCUCUUUUACAAAAGGGCACCCAAUUUUGAAAGCAUUGGAGAAGAAGCACCACACUAUCCAUUCUUCUUCUUCUUCUUCCACGCAUCCAGCCAUGUCACCGGCGGUCUUCGGGCUUCCUCUUCCCAUCACCCUUCACUUGUGCAUCGUCCUCGUAGCCUGACACUGGCGGUGGGAGUUUUAACCUCCUUUUCGAAGAAAAAAAAGUGUUUGUGCGGCUCUGGCACCAUGGCAGCCUGCAUGACUGGAUUCUCAGCUGAGCCGCCAACCCAACCAUGUUUGCAUCGCCCACACAUAAAUGUGUCUAGUUUGUCGAUCAAACCAUGAGAGCUGCUAAAAAGCACUCAGAGUGAGAGUAUCAUUUUGCGAGCACCUUAACUUUCAUCCAAAUAAGUGUAGUGUUUUUCGGCUGAAAAAUUACUCCACUUUGUGUCUCACAGACACUUCCAUAUAUAUAUUUAUUAAAUACUAGCUAGCGAAUUUGGAGAAAUGAGAUGACCCGAACUCCCUGGUCGCUGGCUUCCUGAUUUACUAAUGCUAGAGCUAACAACGAGAGGUGGUGGCAUGCCAUGCACAGACUCUCCUUCCCUCCAGAUUCUACACUACUUUACUUCCAUCAAGAAGGUCACCCGCUAUGCUGGAAAAAGAAUAACAAGUAGCACCUCACUACGUGAACAAGCUAGCAUGACACAACCACCGGGAAAUAAACUGAAUGAAGCGCCUUCCACUUGCUUGGUUUUCCUCCAGUAUCUCAGAGCUCAUGGACAUAUUGAAUGGGGGUGGAAACCAAAAUGUAAGUCAAGCAUAACACAUUAGCGCGGAUUAUCGCUCUUGAUCUACAUGUAGUUUUGUUUUGAAGCAACUUCCUGGAAGCAUAUAUAUAGUACCU
Molecule: long non-coding RNA, 1624 nt
Filed under: Hordeum vulgare
Lineage: Eukaryota; Viridiplantae; Streptophyta; Magnoliopsida; Poales; Poaceae
Description: long non-coding RNA (HVUL_LNC005970)
Source: RNAcentral